This 492-nucleotide ribosomal RNA is filed under the name uncultured bacterium. RNAcentral describes it as "partial 16S ribosomal RNA". It matches the Rfam family "Bacterial small subunit ribosomal RNA", at positions 29 to 507 of the family's 1533-position model. The record is from RNAcentral.
AGUGAACGCUGGCGGUAGGCCUAACACAUGCAAGUCGAACGGCAGCACAGUAAGAGCUUGCUCUUACGGGUGGCGAGUGGCGGACGGGUGAGGAAUACAUCGGAAUCUACUUUUUCGUGGGGGAUAACGUAGGGAAACUUACGCUAAUACCGCAUACGACCUACGGGUGAAAGCAGGGGAUCUUCGGACCUUGCGCGAUUGAAUGAGCCGAUGUCGGAUUAGCUAGUUGGCGGGGUAAAGGCCCACCAAGGCGACGAUCCGUAGCUGGUCUGAGAGGAUGACACGCCACACUGUAACUGAGACACGGUCCAGACUCCUACGGGAGGCAGCAGUGGGGAAUAUUGGACAAUGGGCGCAAGCCUGAUCCAGCCAUACCGCGUGGGUGAAGAAGGCCUUCGGGUUGUAAAGCCCUUUUGUUGGGAAAGAAAAGCAGCAGGUUAAUACCCCGCUGUUCUGACGGUACCCAAAGAAUAAGCACCGGCUAACUUCGUG